RNAcentral lists this unclassified non-coding RNA (226 nucleotides) under Glomus sp. Its description in RNAcentral is "partial contains 5.8S ribosomal RNA and internal transcribed spacer 2". The stretch from base 1 to 71 matches the Rfam family "5.8S ribosomal RNA", at positions 84 to 154 of the family's 154-position model. The record is from RNAcentral. Lineage: Eukaryota; Fungi; Glomeromycota; Glomeromycetes; Glomerales; Glomeraceae.
GUGAAUCAUCAAAUCUUUGAACGCAAAUUGCACUCUCUGGUAUUCCGGAGAGGAUGCCUGUUUGAUGGUCAGUUUAAGUAAAAAUCGGUAUGAUCGCUGCCUUUCGUUGUGACGCGCCGGAUUUGGGUCGUCUGGCCUUCGGUUAAGUGACCUAAAAUUUUGCAUGAUUUUUUCGAACGUAUUUAAAUAAUUUUACGUACGUUUGCGAUAUCGAAUGCUCGUUUUU